CCCUUAGAUGUUCUGGGCCGCACGCGCGCUACACUGAUUCAUGCAACAAGUUUUGUCCUUGGCUGAUAGGCCUGGGUAAUCUUUGAACGUGAAUCGUGAUGGGGAUAGAUGAUUGCAAUUAUUCAUCUUCAACGAGGAAUUCCUAGUAAACGCAAGUCAUCAGCUUGCAUUGAUUACGUCCCUGCCCUUUGUACACACCGCCCGUCGCACCUACCGAUUUCGAGUGGUUCGGUGAACCUUUCGGACCGGCAAUGCCUCGUGUUGCGCCGGAAAGUCAAGUAAACCAUAUCACUUAGAGGAAGGAGAAGUCGUAACA
This 316-nucleotide ribosomal RNA is filed under the name uncultured eukaryote. Its description in RNAcentral is "partial 18S ribosomal RNA". It matches the Rfam family "Eukaryotic small subunit ribosomal RNA", at positions 1470 to 1796 of the family's 1831-position model. The record is from RNAcentral.